GUUUUAAUGGAUAAGAGAGCUUCCUUGGGACCUUCCUGGGUGCUUGAUAGGUUCUGAUCUCGUGCCUGAUCUGAAGAGAAAAUAGCUGUUGGACAUUAAUGUCGGUUUGCUCCAAAUAAGGCAAGUUUGAGUAAAUGAGGAUCCUCCUGAUCCAGUGGUUGCUGGUGCAUGGUAUGAACUUGCAGAACUCCACCUGGACUCCUAGAAUAUCU
This 212-nucleotide long non-coding RNA is filed under the name Brassica rapa (field mustard). RNAcentral's name for it is "long non-coding RNA (BRAP_LNC008196)". The record is from RNAcentral. Lineage: Eukaryota; Viridiplantae; Streptophyta; Magnoliopsida; Brassicales; Brassicaceae.